UCAGUAUCAGGGGCAACGAAUGCAGCCACGCUGACACCAGCGAGCGAGUGGCUCUUCAAGGGCCAAUGAGGAUUCUCCGCUGGGCACCACGGGGUCCCCCCAGGGCCGCCGUGCUGUGCCUCACACGCCGUGAGGACGAGCCGGCGUCCGCGGGCACAGCACAGGCGAUGAACGUCUGCGGCCUGUCACCAGCUCUGUGUCUCUGUAAAGAACCUCAAACGCUGACGCAUCGGGCCCCCGUCCUUCCUGUAGGAGUGCGUCGUUCCUGUCCCCACGAGCCACAUUAGCGGAUCAGGGCACGCGCCGGAGUCUGGCUCGCAGAGGAUGACAAGGAAAGCAGUGGAAACACCGCCUCAGGUUUCGUGCAAACAUACAUGUCCACGUCAGAAACUACAUAUAGAAGAGCAAAUUAAACCCAAAGUGAUGAAAAGAAAGGAAAACAUAAAGAGCAGAAAUCAGUGGAAGAGAAAACAGAAAACAACAUUGGCGCGA
This is a long non-coding RNA of Balaenoptera acutorostrata (minke whale), 492 nucleotides long. RefSeq lists it as uncharacterized. The record is from RefSeq and is a predicted model, not a curated record. The transcript is spliced from 3 exons. NCBI's taxonomy places the organism in Eukaryota, Metazoa, Chordata, Mammalia, Artiodactyla, Balaenopteridae.